AACGAACGCUGGCGGCAUGCCUAACACAUGCAAGUCGAACGAGACCUUCGGGUCUAGUGGCGCACGGGUGCGUAACGCGUGGGAACCUGCCCUUAGGUUCGGAAUAACUCCCCGAAAGGGGUGCUAAUACCGGAUAAUGUCUUCGGACCAAAGAUUUAUCGCCGUUGGAUGGGCCCGCGUUGGAUUAGCUAGUUGGUAGUGUAAAAGCCUACCAAGGCGACGAUCCAUAGCUGGUAUGAGAGGAUGAUCAGCCACACUGGGACUGCGACACGGACCAGACUCGUACGCGAGGCAGCAGUGGGGAAUAUUGGACAAUGGGCGAAAGCCUGAUCCAGCAAUGCCGGGUGAGUGAUGAAGGCGUUAGGGUUGUAAAGCUCUUUUACCCGGGAUGAUAAUGACAGUACCGGGAGAAUAAGCACCGGCUAACUACGUG
Molecule: ribosomal RNA, 433 nt
Filed under: uncultured bacterium
Lineage: Bacteria
Description: partial 16S ribosomal RNA
Rfam family: Bacterial small subunit ribosomal RNA
Source: RNAcentral